CCUACGGGAGGCAGCAGUGGGGAAUAUUGGGCAAUGGACGCAAGUCUGACCCAGCAACGCCGCGUGAAGGAAGAAGGCUUUCGGGUUGUAAACUUCUUUUAAGGGGGAAGAGGAGAAGACGGUACCCCUUGAAUAAGCUACGGCUAACUACGUGCCAGCAGCCGCGGUAAUACGUAGGUGGCAAGCGUUGUCCGGAUGUACUGGGUGUAAGGGGCGUGCAGCCGGGCUGACAAGUCAGAUGUAAAGUCCCGGGGCUUAACCGGCGAACUGCUUUGGAAACUGUAGGUCUUGAGUGCCGAGAGGGAUGCCGGAAUUCAUGGUGUAGGGGUGAAAGGGUUAGAUAAAAGGAAGAACUCCGAGGGCGAGGGCAAGUGUCGGGGGUGCAACUGACGCGGAGGCUCGAAAGUGGGGGUAUCAAACAGGAUUAGAUACCCGAUAGUC
Molecule: ribosomal RNA, 441 nt
Filed under: uncultured bacterium
Lineage: Bacteria
Description: partial 16S ribosomal RNA
Rfam family: Bacterial small subunit ribosomal RNA
Source: RNAcentral